RNAcentral lists this ribosomal RNA (253 nucleotides) under uncultured bacterium. RNAcentral describes it as "partial 16S ribosomal RNA". It matches the Rfam family "Bacterial small subunit ribosomal RNA", at positions 524 to 776 of the family's 1533-position model. The record is from RNAcentral.
UACAGAGGUCUCAAGCGUUGUUCGGAUUCAUUGGGCGUAAAGGGCGCGUAGGCGGCAUGUUAAGUCGGCUGUGAAAGCCUGGGGCUCAACCCCAGAGGGUCGGCCGAUACUGGCAAGCUAGAGUACGGAAGAGGUAGCUGGAAUUCCCGGUGUAGCGGUGAAAUGCGUAGAGAUGUGGAGGAACACCAGUGGCGAAGGCGACUCUUUGGCCUGUAACUGACACUGAGGCGCGAAAGCGUGGGGAGCAAACAGG